ACUAAAGUAAUUCUAAUUAGUACCAAGAGCUAAAAACAAUUGCUACGUUUGCGAAGAUUACAUUACAAUCAUAAAUAAUAGUUAUGCACAUUAAGACUAUUACAAAAGUUACGAGUAAAACAAUUUCAUCGAAUCCAACCGGAAUGUAAAACCCAUAUGCCUUUUUCUUUUCAAUUUUUAAGUAGCUAGUAAGAAUGAUUGUAAGGUGAAGAUGCGAUGAUUACACAUAAAGAAACAGUUAUGUAAACUGAGAAAUAGCUUGCUGUUUAUCUUCUGAAGCAAUGAAGUGAUUACAAUUUCAUGUAAAAGACAAAAAGAAAAAAUGAAAAAACACCUCAACACAUUCUAUUUGAUUAAAGGUUCCAUAUAAUAUUACCUUCUCCUUUGAGAACAAUUUUGGAAGUCAAAACAGGGUAUCAGGAAAUUUGUGGACGCACAGCCCAUCAGACCCUCAUGAUUUGAACUACAUACAUGAUCAAAGAACAGAUUACUUCCCCAGAACACAUGACCUGGCAUGAUGCAUCCCUUGCACCAUCACCGAUGUUAACUGCAGGGCAUAAACAAGAGGUCAUUUUGGAGCCUAACCAAAUGACACAAAUGAUAUGAUCUGCUUAUCAUCGAUCAAUGGCUGGAAAAAAAUCUCUCCACUUGUUUGCACAUCUUACCUCGACUUAUUCCUCAAAAUAAUGACUAUUAUAUUUCUUCAGAGGAACGCUGGAGUAUCAUUCUCACUCAUCCAAGUAGAGAACAGAAAGUCCGCAGGACUCUUGAUGUAAUAAACCAUCACUCCACCAUCCCCACCACCCUGCCGAUUUGAUGUAAUAACUGCCUCACAACGAAAAACUUUGCAUCAGGAUCCUGAAACACCAUCUUCAAGAGNNNNN
Molecule: long non-coding RNA, 884 nt
Filed under: Carica papaya (papaya)
Lineage: Eukaryota; Viridiplantae; Streptophyta; Magnoliopsida; Brassicales; Caricaceae
Description: long non-coding RNA (CPAP_LNC011740)
Source: RNAcentral